Long non-coding RNA from Gallus gallus (chicken), 417 nucleotides. The record is from Ensembl. Lineage: Eukaryota; Metazoa; Chordata; Aves; Galliformes; Phasianidae.
AAUGAGGUGCUUUUUUGGUGGUUUUAUGGGACCUUGGUGAAGUAGAAGAAAGGCUGUGGAGGAAAAACUUGGUAUACUGCAUACUGCAUAGUCAUUGCUGAGGAGUCAAAUGGAGGAGAAACAACUGGGUACAUACAGGUGCUACAAAUGUUCUGGAGGAGAGCCUCAGUGUUCCCAAGAAGACACAGUGUCUUCUGCAGCUCCAGUGAAGAUCCCUGCCUGGACACCAGCCCAGCUGCCACUCAUCACCACUACCAAGUCUAAGCUUGCUGGCUUGCUGCUGUUCAGAGAAGCUAAUGACAACCACAUCCUCGGAGCUACUCAUUUCUACACGGCCCCCAAUACUCACUAUUCUUGGUUGGUUUUAUCUAUUUUUUAUAGUACACUACACUUGGGGGGGGGGGGGGGGGGGGGGGG